CCCUACGGGGGGCAGCAGUGAGGAAUAUUGGUCAAUGGUCGGGAGACUGAACCAGCCAAGCCGCGUGAGGGAUGAAGGUACGGAGUAUCGUAAACCUCUUUUGUCAGGGAACAAAGGCGGGGACGUGUCCCCGGAUGAGUGUACCUGAAGAAAAAGCAUCGGCUAACUACGUGCCAGCAGCCGCGGUAAUACGUAGGGGGCAAGCGUUAUCCGGAUUUACUGGGUGUAAAGGGAGCGCAGGCGGCGUGGCAAGUCAGAUGUGAAAACCCGGGGCCCAACCCCGGGAGUGCAUUUGACACUGCCAU
RNAcentral lists this ribosomal RNA (305 nucleotides) under uncultured bacterium. RNAcentral describes it as "bacterial SSU rRNA". It matches the Rfam family "Bacterial small subunit ribosomal RNA", at positions 337 to 639 of the family's 1533-position model. The record is from RNAcentral.